RNAcentral lists this ribosomal RNA (415 nucleotides) under actinobacterium SCGC AAA280-D11. RNAcentral's name for it is "bacterial SSU rRNA". It matches the Rfam family "Bacterial small subunit ribosomal RNA", at positions 353 to 780 of the family's 1533-position model. The record is from RNAcentral. Lineage: Bacteria; Bacillati; Actinomycetota; Actinomycetes.
AGUGGGGAAUAUUGGGCAAUGGAGGAAACUCUGACCCAGCGACGCCGCGUGAGGGAUGAAGGCCUUCGGGUUGUAAACCUCUUUCAGUAGGGAAGAAGCGAAAGUGACGGUACCUACAGAAGAAGCACCGGCUAACUAUGUGCCAGCAGCCGCGGUAAUACAUAGGGUGCAAGCGUUGUCCGGAAUUAUUGGGCGUAAAGAGCUCGUAGGUGGUUCGAUACGUCGGAUGUGAAAAUCAGGGGCUCAACCCCUGACCUGCAUCCGAUACGGUCGAGCUAGAGUUUGGUAGGGGAGACUGGAAUUCCUGGUGUAGCGGUGGAAUGCGCAGAUAUCAGGAGGAACACCGAUGGCGAAGGCAGGUCUCUGGGCCAAUACUGACACUGAGGAGCGAAAGCGUGGGGAGCGAACAGGAUUA